AGAGUUUGAUCCUGGCUCAGAGGGAACGCUGGCGGCAGGCCUAACACAUGCAAGUCGAACGGACCCUUCGGGGUUAGUGGCGGACGGGUGAGUAACACGUGGGAACGUGCCUUUAGGUUCGGAAUAGCUCCUGGAAACGGGUGGUAAUGCCGAAUGUGCCCUUCGGGGGAAAGAUUUAUCGCCUUUAGAGCGGCCCGCGUCUGAUUAGCUAGCUGGUGAGGUAAUGGCUCACCAAGGCGACGAUCAGUAGCUGGUCUGAGAGGAUGACCAGCACAUUGGGACUGAGACACGGCCCAAACUCCUACGGGAGGCAGCAGUGGGGAAUCUUGCGCAAUGGGCGAAAGCCUGACGCAGCCAUGCCGCGUGGAUGAUGAAGGUCUUAGGAUUGUAAAAUCCUUUCACCGGUGAAGAUAAUGACUGUAGCCGGAGAAGAAGCCCCGGCUAACUUCGUGCCAGCAGCCGCGGUAAUACGAAGGGGGCUAGCGUUGCUCGGAAUUACUGGGCGUAAAGGGAGCGUAGGCGGACAUUUAAGUCAGGGGUGAAAUCCCAGAGCUCAACUCUGGAACUGCCUUUGAUACUGGGUGUCUUGAGUGUGAUAGAGGUAUGUGGAACUCCGAGUGUAGAGGUGAAAUUCGUAGAUAUUCGGAAGAACACCAGUGGCGAAGGCGACAUACUGGAUCAUUACUGACGCUGAGGCUCGAAAGCGUGGGGAGCAAACAGGAUUAGAUACCCUGGUAGUCCACGCCGUAAACGAUGAUUGCUAGUUGUCGGGUUGUUUACAACUCGGUGACGCAGCUAACGCAUUAAGCAAUCCGCCUGGGGAGUACGGUCGCAAGAUUAAAACUCAAAGGAAUUGACGG
Molecule: ribosomal RNA, 860 nt
Filed under: uncultured bacterium
Lineage: Bacteria
Description: bacterial SSU rRNA
Rfam family: Bacterial small subunit ribosomal RNA
Source: RNAcentral